This 229-nucleotide ribosomal RNA is filed under the name uncultured bacterium. Its description in RNAcentral is "partial 16S ribosomal RNA". It matches the Rfam family "Bacterial small subunit ribosomal RNA", at positions 568 to 796 of the family's 1533-position model. The record is from RNAcentral.
UACGUAGGCGGAAAUCUAAGUCAGUGGUGAAAUCCCGCAGCUCAACUGUGGAACUGUCAUUGAUACUGGUUUUCUUGAAUAUAGUUGAGGUAGGCGGAAUGUGUAAUGUAACGGUGAAAUGCUUAGAUAUUACACAGAACACCGAUUGCGAAGGCAGCUUACUAAACUAUGAUUGACGCUGAGGUACGAAAGCGUGGGGAGCGAACAGGAUUAGAUACCCUGGUAGUCC